AACGCACAUUGCGCCCCUUAGUAUUCCGGGGGGCAUGCCUGUUCGAGCGUCAUUACAACCCUCAAGCUCUGCUUAGUCUUAGGCGUCACCGGUCCCUAGUGUGCCUUAAAAUCAGUGGCGGCGCCAUCUAGCUCUAAGCGUAGUACACACUCUCGCUAUAGACGCCUAGUGGAUGCUAGCUAGCAACCCCUAUUUCUUAAGGUUGACCUUAGAUUAGGUAGGGAUACCCGCUAAACUUAA
Molecule: unclassified non-coding RNA, 240 nt
Filed under: uncultured fungus
Lineage: Eukaryota; Fungi
Description: sequence contains ITS2
Source: RNAcentral